RNAcentral lists this ribosomal RNA (1729 nucleotides) under Vibrio cholerae. RNAcentral's name for it is "partial 23S ribosomal RNA". It matches the Rfam family "Bacterial large subunit ribosomal RNA", at positions 493 to 2213 of the family's 2925-position model. The record is from RNAcentral. Lineage: Bacteria; Pseudomonadati; Pseudomonadota; Gammaproteobacteria; Vibrionales; Vibrionaceae.
AACCAGUACCGUGAGGGAAAGGCGAAAAGAACCCCUGUGAGGGGAGUGAAAUAGAACCUGAAACCGUGUACGUACAAGCAGUAGGAGCACCUUCGUGGUGUGACUGCGUACCUUUUGUAUAAUGGGUCAGCGACUUAUAUUCAGUGGCAAGGUUAACCGUAUAGGGGAGCCGUAGCGAAAGCGAGUCUUAACUGGGCGCUCAGUCUCUGGAUAUAGACCCGAAACCGGGUGAUCUAGCCAUGGGCAGGUUGAAGGUUGAGUAACAUCAACUGGAGGACCGAACCGACUAAUGUUGAAAAAUUAGCGGAUGACUUGUGGCUAGGGGUGAAAGGCCAAUCAAACUCGGAGAUAGCUGGUUCUCCCCGAAAGCUAUUUAGGUAGCGCCUCGGACGAAUACUACUGGGGGUAGAGCACUGUUAAGGCUAGGGGGUCAUCCCGACUUACCAACCCUUUGCAAACUCCGAAUACCAGUAAGUACUAUCCGGGAGACACACGGCGGGUGCUAACGUCCGUCGUGGAGAGGGAAACAACCCAGACCGCCAGCUAAGGUCCCAAAGUAUUGCUAAGUGGGAAACGAUGUGGGAAGGCUCAGACAGCUAGGAUGUUGGCUUAGAAGCAGCCAUCAUUUAAAGAAAGCGUAAUAGCUCACUAGUCGAGUCGGCCUGCGCGGAAGAUGUAACGGGGCUAAGCAAUACACCGAAGCUGCGGCAAUGUCUUUUAGACAUUGGGUAGGGGAGCGUUCUGUAAGCCGUUGAAGGUGAAUCGUAAGGUUUGCUGGAGGUAUCAGAAGUGCGAAUGCUGACAUGAGUAACGACAAAGGGGGUGAAAAACCUCCUCGCCGGAAGACCAAGGGUUCCUGUCCAACGUUAAUCGGGGCAGGGUGAGUCGACCCCUAAGGUGAGGCCGAAAGGCGUAAUCGAUGGGAAACGGGUUAAUAUUCCCGUACUUCUGACUAUUGCGAUGGGGGGACGGAGAAGGCUAGGUGGGCCAGGCGACGGUUGUCCUGGUUCAAGUGCGUAGGCUUGAGAGUUAGGUAAAUCCGGCUCUCUCUAAGGCUGAGACACGACGUCGAGCUACUACGGUAGUGAAGUCAUUGAUGCCAUGCUUCCAGGAAAAGCCUCUAAGCUUCAGAUAGUCAGGAAUCGUACCCCAAACCGACACAGGUGGUCGGGUAGAGAAUACCAAGGCGCUUGAGAGAACUCGGGUGAAGGAACUAGGCAAAAUGGUACCGUAACUUCGGGAGAAGGUACGCUCUUGAUGGUGAAGUCCCUCGCGGAUGGAGCUGACGAGAGUCGCAGAUACCAGGUGGCUGCAACUGUUUAUUAAAAACACAGCACUGUGCAAAAUCGCAAGAUGACGUAUACGGUGUGACGCCUGCCCGGUGCCGGAAGGUUAAUUGAUGGGGUUAGCGCAAGCGAAGCUCUUGAUCGAAGCCCCGGUAAACGGCGGCCGUAACUAUAACGGUCCUAAGGUAGCGAAAUUCCUUGUCGGGUAAGUUCCGACCUGCACGAAUGGCGUAAUGAUGGCCACGCUGUCUCCACCCGAGACUCAGUGAAAUUGAAAUCGCUGUGAAGAUGCAGUGUACCCGCGGCUAGACGGAAAGACCCCGUGAACCUUUACUACAGCUUGGCACUGAACAUUGAACCUACAUGUGUAGGAUAGGUGGGAGGCUAUGAAGACGUGACGCCAGUUGCGUUGGAGCCGUCCUUGAAAUACCACCCUUGUAUGU